UGGAUACCACCGACAAAAUGACAGAUUUAACAGCUUUUUAAAAUAUUUUAAUCAUAAAACCACCACCAUCACCAGACGAAUCAAGGUAACAGCAGCAGCGCCGAGUCUGAGCCAAGUUUCCCUAAGGAUUUUUCCUUCACUAUAUCAAGAAAACAAGAUGCUAAAGCUAGGGUUUUCUGACUGAAUAUAAAGAAGGUUGAUUUGCAAGUCAUGGAUUCUACACAACCCAGGAGUGAACACAUGAGAAACACCCCUCUUUCUCUAACGAUGUGCAGCGGUUCUCCUAGCUCCAAAAUCUCGUUAUAUGACUAAAGAUAUUCCAACUACAAUAAAACUGUUAUGGCAA
This is a long non-coding RNA of Micropterus dolomieu (smallmouth bass), 346 nucleotides long. RefSeq lists it as uncharacterized. The transcript is spliced from 3 exons. NCBI's taxonomy places the organism in Eukaryota, Metazoa, Chordata, Actinopteri, Centrarchiformes, Centrarchidae. The record is from RefSeq and is a predicted model, not a curated record.